Molecule: unclassified non-coding RNA, 331 nt
Filed under: soil metagenome
Description: partial contains 5.8S ribosomal RNA, internal transcribed spacer 2, and large subunit ribosomal RNA
Rfam family: 5.8S ribosomal RNA (bases 1-120)
Source: RNAcentral
GAUGAAGAACGCAGCGAAAUGCGAUAAGUAAUGUGAAUUGCAGAAUUCAGUGAAUCAUCGAAUCUUUGAACGCACAUUGCGCCCCCUGGUAUUCCAGGGGGCAUGCCUGUUCGAGCGUCAUUUCACCACUCAAGCCUCGCUUGGUAUUGGGCAACGCGGUCCGCCGCGUGCCUCAAAUCGUCCGGCUGGGUCUUCUGUCCCCUAAGCGUUGUGGAAACUAUUCGCUAAAGGGUGUUCGGGAGGCUACGCCGUAAAACAACCCCAUUUCUAAGGUUGACCUCGGAUCAGGUAGGGAUACCCGCUGAACUUAAGCAUAUCAAUAAGCGGAGGA